UACGUAGGGGGCAAGCGUUGUCCGGAUUUAUUGGGCGUAAAGCGCUCGCAGGUGGUUCGAUGCGUCGUGCGUGAAAGACCCCGGCUCAACUGGGGAGGGUCAUUCGAUACUGAUCGACUUGAAGGCAGGAGAGGGAAGUGGAAUUCCCGGUGUAGUGGUGAAAUGCGUAGAUAUCGGGAGGAACACCAGUGGCGAAGGCGGCUUCCUGGCCUGUUCUUGACGCUGAGGCGCGAAAGCUAGGGUAGCAAACAGG
RNAcentral lists this ribosomal RNA (253 nucleotides) under uncultured bacterium. Its description in RNAcentral is "partial 16S ribosomal RNA". It matches the Rfam family "Bacterial small subunit ribosomal RNA", at positions 524 to 776 of the family's 1533-position model. The record is from RNAcentral.